CCGAGUUUACAACUCCCAAACCCCUGUGAACAUACCAAUCGUUGCCUCGGCGGGACCGCCCCGGCGCCCCGGGCCCGGACCCAGGCGCCCGCCGGAGGACCCCUAAACUCACUUGAUUCCACGGUGUAUCUUCUGAGUGACACAAGCAAAUAAAAUCA
This 158-nucleotide unclassified non-coding RNA is filed under the name soil metagenome. Its description in RNAcentral is "partial internal transcribed spacer 1". The record is from RNAcentral.